RNAcentral lists this non-coding RNA (601 nucleotides) under Pongo abelii (Sumatran orangutan). The record is from RNAcentral. Lineage: Eukaryota; Metazoa; Chordata; Mammalia; Primates; Hominidae.
CUUUCCGUGCAUAAGAAGCCGAAUGAGGAAGACACUUAAAGAUGAAGUGCUUAAUUCAAGGUCACAGAAUGUCGGGGAUGGACCUCCAGAUUUCCUUACUGGAAAACAAGCUCAGGGCUCCCACUGAUUGUACAUUAUGGUGAGACGUGGUCUUGUAACACAGUGGUUAAGAAUGUGACUUUGGAGCCAGCCUGCUAGGGGCUGAAUUCUGACUCAGCCAUUUAUUAACUGUGUGACCUUAGAUGGAGUCUCACUCUGUAGCCCAAGCUGGAGUGGCGUGAUCUCGACUCACUGCAACCUCCGCCUCCUGGGCUCAAGUGAUUCUCGUGCCUCAGCCUCCUGAGUAGCUGGGACUACAGGUCAUAGAAUUUUCCACACUCCUUGACGGAGGUUCUUAACCCUUAUCCAUCAGCAUUCUCAGACAGCACCUCCGGUUAGGGACAGUAUCUGACCGUCCGACAUCCCUGCAGCCCCCAUGCUGUCACACAGACUCAGCCUCAGGUAGAUGGUUUCCGUAGAUGGUGGCUUUCUUUGGACCCUUGAUAUCAACCAGUUACUAUUUGGGGACCAGAUGUGCAGAGGUAAUGAAUACCAGGGAAUC